RNAcentral lists this ribosomal RNA (120 nucleotides) under Niveomyces insectorum RCEF 264. Lineage: Eukaryota; Fungi; Ascomycota; Sordariomycetes; Hypocreales; Cordycipitaceae. The record is from RNAcentral.
ACGUACGGCCAUAGACAUCGGAAAGUACGGGAUCCCGUCCGCUCUCCCCUAGUCAAACCGGUGAUCGGCGGAUUAGUAGUUGGGUCGGUGACGACCAGCGAAUCCCCGCUGCUGUACGUU